CUGCGGCGGAUUAGGUAGUUGGUGGGGUAACGGCCUACCAAGCCGAUGAUCCGUAGGGGGCGUGAGAGCGUGGCCCCCCACACUGGCACUGAGACACGGGCCAGACUCCUACGGGAGGCAGCAGUGGGGAAUAUUGCACAAUGGGCGCAAGCCUGAUGCAGCAACGCCGCGUGAGGGACGAAGGCCUUCGGGUUGUAAACCUCUUUUCUGAGGGACGAGGAAGGACGGUACCUCAGGAAUAAGUCUCGGCUAACUACGUGCCAGCAGCCGCGGUAAAACGUAGGAGGCGAGCGUUAUCCGGAUUUACUGGGCGUAAAGCGCGCGCAGGUGGCUUCGUGAGUCGGACAUGAAAGCUCCUGGCUUAACUGGGAGAGGCUGUUCGAUACUGCGGGGCUUGAGGUUGGGAGAGGGACGCGGAAUUCCCGGUGUAGUGGUGGAAUGCGUAGAUAUCGGGAGGAACACCAGUGGCGCAAGCGGCGUCCUGGCCCACACCUGACGCUGAGGUGCGAAAGCGUGGGUAGCAAACAGGAUUAGAUACCCUGGUAGUCCACGCUGUAAACGAUGUCAACUGGGUGUCGGUAGUUUUACACUAUCGGUGCCGAAGCUAACGCG
RNAcentral lists this ribosomal RNA (612 nucleotides) under uncultured bacterium. Its description in RNAcentral is "bacterial SSU rRNA". It matches the Rfam family "Bacterial small subunit ribosomal RNA", at positions 231 to 859 of the family's 1533-position model. The record is from RNAcentral.